UACACACAGAAAAAGAGCUGCCCAGUGGCAUCCUGAAACAAACGAUCAGCUUAGGCCCUUCAGCUCCCUUAAAAAGUAGAAGAUAACAUAGAAUAGGAACAUUGUUUACACAGAGGUGGCCAAUUAUGAAGGAUGCACAAUGCGCCUGAACCCCACCUGUGUGGUUGUUCCUUGACAGUUCUGUCGGCCGGAGACAUUUUUCAUCUUUUCCUCACCUCUACAAAUUCCAAAUUCUAAGUUCCAUCCACCUAACCUCAAAUCCAUGUCAGUGUCCUGUUUUCAAAUACUAUUUUGAGUGCGCAGGGAUUGAUUGGGCCACCAGGGAUCCACACGACCUUGAAGCUUCGAAGCACUAUCACAAAUGUCAAAAUUUGAAGCUUCCUUCCCUCUCUUCAUCAUUACGCACAUCCCUUUUCUUCUCUGCCUUCGGAUCACCUCCGCCUCCCACUUUUGACCCUUGAAUUAAUGGGAAUACUUUAGAAGAUUCUCAGGACAUGCUCAGGGAGAAAGCUUCAUGAAUGCACUUCCUUUGGUGGCUGUCCACCGGGGCUCCUUUUGUGAAAUUGAGGGCCAUUUUAGCUUUUAUCCUCUCUUCCCAAAGCUACUUGCUUGUACUCGAUUGCCUCAGAAAAAUCUUCAUUUGGUAGUGAUCACCACCACACGUGGCUGUGACUUCAUUUCUUAAAAAAAUGUACUGAAUCUACCCAUUACAAGUUG
RNAcentral lists this long non-coding RNA (717 nucleotides) under Populus tremula. RNAcentral describes it as "long non-coding RNA (PTRE_LNC002663)". Lineage: Eukaryota; Viridiplantae; Streptophyta; Magnoliopsida; Malpighiales; Salicaceae. The record is from RNAcentral.